This 446-nucleotide ribosomal RNA is filed under the name uncultured bacterium. RNAcentral describes it as "partial 16S ribosomal RNA". It matches the Rfam family "Bacterial small subunit ribosomal RNA", at positions 338 to 795 of the family's 1533-position model. The record is from RNAcentral.
CCUACGGGUGGCUGCAGUCGAGAAUCAUUCACAAUGAGGGAAACCCUGAUGGUGCGACGCCGCGUGGAGGAAUGAAGGUCUUCGGAUUGUAAACCCCUGUCAUGUGGGAGCAAAUUAGAAAGAUAGUACCACAGGAGGAAGAGACUGCUAAAUCUGUGCCAGCAGCCGCGGUAGUACCGAGGUCUCAAGCGUUGUUCGGAAUCACUGGGGGUAAAGCGGGCGUUGGCUGUUUAGUAAGUCGUGUGUGAAAGGCGCGGGCUCAACCCGCGGACGGCACAUGAUACUGGGAGACUAGAGUAAUGGAGGGGGAAGCGGAAUUCUCGGUGUAGCAGUGAAAUGCGUAGAUAUCGAGAGGAACACUCGUGGCGAAGGCGGGUUCCUGGACAUUAACUGACGCUGAGGCACGAAGGCCAGGGGAGCGAAAGGGAUUAGAUACCCGAGUAGUC